AUUGAACGCUGGCGGCAGGCCUAACACAUGCAAGUCGAGCGGAUGAAGGGAGCUUGCUCCUGGCUUCAGCUACGGACGGGCGAGUAAUGCCUAGGUAUCUGACUUGCAGUGGGGGAUAACGUCAGGACACGGGCGCUAAUCCCGCAUACGUCCUGAGGGUGAAAGUGAUGGAUCUUCGGACCUCACGCUAUUUGAUGAGACUAGGUCGUAUUAGCUAGUUGCAUGGGUAAAGGCCUACCAAGGCGACGAUCCGUAACUGGUCUGAGAGGCUGAUCAGUCACACUGGAACUGAGACACGGUCCAGACUCCUACGGGAGGCAGCAGUGGGGAAUAUUGGGCAAUGGGCGAAAGCCUGAUCCAGCCAUGCCGCGUGUGUGAAGAAGGUCUUCGGAUUGUAAAGCACUUUAAGUUGGGAGGAAGAGAAGUAAGUUAAUACCUUGCUGUCUUGACGGUACCAACAGAAUAAGCACCGGCUAACUUCGUG
Molecule: ribosomal RNA, 484 nt
Filed under: uncultured bacterium
Lineage: Bacteria
Description: partial 16S ribosomal RNA
Rfam family: Bacterial small subunit ribosomal RNA
Source: RNAcentral